UGUGACGGACAGAAAAGAGAAUGCCACCCAGUCAACCAACCCAACUGCUUAAAAAGAUACCGUAACACGUCAAUAUUCGAUUGCACCCCGUCUACGGAUCCUUGUCGUAAUCGCUGGACAACAGUAUGCCAAACACCCUAUAACCUCCAGUGCAACGGGGGCUUCGAGUGCAGCUGCUCCUGUACCUACAAGGGACAACUUAAGUGAUUCGCAAGGAACUGUAUGAGUGCAUUUCGGUUCACGGACGUUCCGCCUAACCCCUGGUCAUGACUUUGUCAACGUUUCGGAAACUGAUGGUGUCAAAGAGGACUUUCAAAGAUGGGAAAAGUUGUUUCUGUUUUAAUCACGCUUAUUCUCUCUCUGCACUGAAUUUUCAUGGUGCCCACUUUUAACGCUGUGGUCUACUUCUAGAAUUACCUCACUUUACACCUCAGCAUGCAAUAAAACUGUUUCC
This is a long non-coding RNA of Dermacentor andersoni, 454 nucleotides long. RefSeq lists it as uncharacterized. The record is from RefSeq and is a predicted model, not a curated record. NCBI's taxonomy places the organism in Eukaryota, Metazoa, Arthropoda, Arachnida, Ixodida, Ixodidae.